AAUCAGGCGCGCGGCAGAGAGGAGGGUGUGACGUUCCAGGAGCUAGUGGCCUCUUCACCCUGGUGACCUCUGUUCCGUAUUCUGUCACUGAGAGACGCCCUGGGACAUCUGUGGUGGCUUUUGUCGCGCUGGGACCUACCCUGGCUACGGGAGUUGGGAAGACCCGGGACACAGCACAGCCGGGAAAUGGACUCAGUGGCCUUUGAGGAUGUGGCUGUGAACUUCACCCAUGAGGAGUGGGCUUUGCUGAGUCCAUCACAGAAGAAUCUCUACAGAGAUGUGAUGCGAGAAACCAUUAGGAACCUGAACUGUAUAGGAAUGAAAUGGGAAAACCAGAACAUUGAUGAUCAGUACCAAAAUCUCAGGAGAAAUCCAAGAUGUGAUGUGGUAGAGAGAUUUGGUAAAAGUAAAGAUGGUAGUCAGUGUGGAGAAACCUUAAGCCAGAUUCGAAAUAGUAUUGUAAACAAGAACACUCCCACCAGAGUAGAUACAUGUGGAAGCAGUGUGAAUGGAGAAGUCAUAAUGGGUCAUUCAUCCCUGAAUUGCUACAUCAGAGUUGACACUGGACACAAACACCGGGAGUGUCAUGAAUAUGCAGAGAAGUCAUAUACACAUAAGCAGUGUGGGGAAGGCUUAAGUUAUCGCCACUCCUUUCAAACAUGUGAAAGGCCUCACACUGGAAAGAAACCCUAUGAUUGUAAGGAAUGUGGAAAAACCUUCAGUUCUCCUGGAAACCUUCGAAGACAUAUGGUAGUAAAAGGUGGAGAUGGACCUUAUAAAUGUGAAUUGUGUGGGAAAGCCUUUUUUUGGCCCAGUUUAUUACGUAUGCAUGAAAGAACUCACACUGGAGAGAAACCGUAUGAAUGUAAGCAGUGUUCUAAAGCCUUCCCUGUUUACAGUUCCUAUCUAAGACAUGAAAAAAUACACACUGGGGAGAAACCGUAUGAAUGUAAGCAGUGUUCUAAAGCCUUCCCUGAUUACAGUUCAUAUCUAAGACAUGAAAGAACUCACACUGGAGAGAAACCCUACAAAUGUAAACAAUGUGGGAAAGCCUUCAGUGUUUCCGGUUCCCUUCGAGUACAUGAAAGAAUUCACACUGGAGAGAAACCCUAUACAUGUAAACAGUGUGGGAAAGCGUUUUGUCAUCUUGGAAGCUUUCGAAGACACAUGAUAAUGCACAGUGGAGAUGGACCUCAUAAAUGUAAGAUAUGUGGGAAAGGCUUUGAUUUUCCUGGUUCAGCACGAAUUCAUGAAGGAACUCACACUCUAGAGAAACCCUAUGAAUGUAAGCAAUGUGGGAAAUUGUUAUCUCAUCGCUCAAGCUUUCGAAGACACAUGAUGGCACACACUGGAGAUGGCCCUCAUAAAUGCACGGUAUGUGGGAAAGCCUUUGAUUCUCCUAGUGUAUUUCAAAGACAUGAAAGGACUCACACUGGAGAGAAACCCUAUGAAUGCAAGCAAUGUGGGAAAGCCUUCCGUACUUCCAGUUCCCUUCGAAAACAUGAAACAACACACACUGGAGAGCAACCCUAUAAAUGUAAAUGUGGAAAAGCUUUUAGUGAUUUCUUUUCCUUUCAAAGUCAUGAAACAACACACAGUGAAGAGGAGCCUUAUGAAUGUAAGGAGUGUGGGAAAGCAUUUAGUUCUUUUAAAUACUUUUGUCGCCAUGAAAGGACUCACAGUGAAGAAAAAUCUUAUGAGUGUCAAAUUUGUGGGAAAGCCUUCAGUCGUUUCAGUUACUUAAAAACUCAUGAAAGGACUCACACGGCAGAGAAGCCAUAUGAAUGUAAGCAAUGCAGGAAAGCAUUCUUUUGGCCCUCUUUCCUUCUAAGACAUGAAAGGACUCACACUGGAGAAAGACCCUAUGAAUGUAAACACUGUGGUAAAGCCUUCAGUCGUUCCAGUUUCUGUCGAGAACAUGAAAGAACUCACACUGGAGAGAAGCCCUAUGAAUGACUCAGUGACCUUUGAAGAUGUGGCUGUGAACUUCACCCAGGAGGAAUGGGCUUUGCUGGAUCCUUCACAGAAAAAACUCUACAGAGAUGUGAUGUGGGAAACCUUCAGGAACCUGGCCACUAUAGGAACAAAACAAAAAGAAUGGAACAUUGAAGAGCAGUACAAAAACCAGGGGAGAAAUCUCAGAAAUCAUAUGGUAGAGAGACUCUGUGACAGUAAAGAAGGUAGUCAUGGUGGAGAAGGUUUCAGCCAGAUUCCAAAUCUCAGUCUGAACAAGAAAACUCCUUCUGGAGGAAAGCUUUGGGAAAGCAGUGUAUGUGGAAAAGUCUUGAGCCAUCAUUCAUCCCUUAACAGGCACAUUAGAUCUUACACCAGACACAAACUGUAUAAGUGUCAGGAAUAUGGAGAGAAGCCGUAUAAAUGUAAGAAAUGUGGGAAACCCUUCAGUUAUCUGCAGUCUUUUAAAAAACAUAAAAGAACACACAGUGCAGGGAUAGUCUACAAAUGUAAGGCCUGUGGGAAAGCCUUCAGUUGUCAACGUUCUUUCCAAAUACAUGGAAGGACUCACACUGGAGAUAAACCCUUUAAGUGUAAAGAAUGUGGAAAAGCAUUCCGAUACCACCAAUCUGCUCAAAAACAUGAAAAGGCUCAUACUGGAGAGAAACCCUACAAAUGUAAGGAAUGUGGGAAACCCUUCAUUUACCGCCAUUCUGCUCGAGCACAUGAAAGGAAUCACACUGUACAGAAACGCUAUGAAUGUAAACAAUGUGGAAAAACCUACAUAUCUUCUGUAGGUUUUCAAGCACAUGAAAGAACUCACACUGGAGAAAAACCCUAUGAAUGUAAAAAAUGUGGAAAAGUGUUCGUAUAUCACAACUCUGCUCAAAGACAUGAAAAGACUCAUACUGGAGAGAAACCCUACAAAUGCAAGGAAUGUGGGAAAGCCUUCAGUUACCACUGUACUGCUCAAAAACAUGAGAGGAAUCACACUGCACAGAAACACUAUGAAUGUAAACUGUGUGGGAAAACUUACUUGUCUCCUUUAGGUUUUCAAGCACAUGAAAGUACUCACACUGGAGAUAAACCCUUUGAGUGUAAAAAAUGUGGAAAAGCAUUUAGAUACUACUACUCAGCUCAAAGACAUGAAAGGACUCAUACUGGAGAGAAACCCUACAAAUGUAAGGAAUGUGGGAAAGCCUUUUAUUGUUGCAGUUCUGCCCGAAGACAUGAAAGGAUGCACACUGCAAAGAAACAGUAUGAAUGUAAAAAAUGUGGGAAAACAUACAUUACUCUUGCAGGUUUCCAGAUACAUGAAAGAACCCACACUGGAGAGAAACCUUAUGAAUGUAAACAGUGUGGUAAAGCCUUCAGUAGUUCCAGUUAUAUUCAUAUACAUGAACGAAUUCAUACUGGAGAGAAACCCUAUGAAUGUAAAGAAUGUGGAAAACCCUUCAGUUUCCUUACAGGCUUUCGAGUGCACAUGAGAAUGCACACUGGAGAGAAACCUUAUAAAUGUAAGGAUUGUGGCAACGCCUUCAUUUGGCGUGCAUCCUUACAAUACCAUGUGAAGAAAGUGCACGCUGAAUAGAAACUAUAAAUUUCUGGGCCAUUGAAAAAUGAGUUUGGUACUGGGAGUUUUCUACUGGCAUCCUGUGGCAGGUUAUCGGAGACAUGGUUACAGAAUUUCAUUUUGAUCCAUUAUGGUCACCUGGUAGCUUUGUCUGAUGGAGGUUUGUUACAGUUUUCAACAGGGUAAGACUUCGCCUUCUUGUGACUGAGAUAAGGUAUGAGGAAGCCUUGGCCAUACCACCAGCCGCUUAUCCCAAAUUCCUGAUCCCUGGAAGACAUCUGGGCCCUCCCUCCUGUUCCAGCCCAGUAGCUUCCAGCAAAGGUACUGGCUCAAUUGGACACGGAGUGUGGAACUGCCUGCUCACACUUGUGAACUCCCGUCCAGGAGGAAGAAACAGGGCCCACCUUCCAGAGGCCGAGGUGGCUCCACCACAGCUUCUGUCCGGUGGUGACCAGCACUGAUCCCCGGAGCCAAGGGAGGACCCGGGACACCUGGGAGCCGGGAAAUGCUGCAGUCCAAGAGGCCAACUGGAACAUUAACAUCAGACACUAAUCCAGCUUACUGGACACAAUUGGGAAAACUGGUUAUUUUACCAAGGCUUUAACUGGAAUGGUGUGCCUUCCAUUAAGGAAUCAAAUUUGACUUAUGGAGCCAAUAAAGCCCUUGGAAAGCUGGCCUCAGAUUUCGUGUACAGUCCCUGUACAGGGUUUCCGAUCUGUGAGAUUUCUUAAACUGACAGGAUCAUGGCCAUUUCACAGACAACUACCCAAAAAUAUCUACAGACGGCGCUGCUCCUACCAACCCGAUACCAGAGAACUCUCCGUCCCCUCGUCAGCAGGAAGUAGCCAGAAAGAACAUGCCGCCCCUCGUCCUUUUUAUAACUAUGAGGUCUGGAUUGACAGAGCAGAAGCAUCACCAUUGUGGAUAAGUGCCUCAUUUUAAAAUUCACCUUAAUCAAAAACUGCCUAAAUCCAAAGGGCAUCAGCCUAAUGGCUAAGGUCAGCAUGAUCACAAACCACAAAUAACAUCUCCAACCAAAAACAUUCCAGACACCUCCCACAGAGAAAUGCUAGCCUCAGGAUAACCCCUCUCCUGCCGGAAAGAUGUCACCCCCAAGAUAACCGCCCCUCCGCCUAGAACAUUCCAACCCUGCCAUAAACUUCUCCCCCACACAGAAACAUUCCAAGCUUGUAAUAAGCUCCCACACCCUAAAACCAACGUACAUUCUUAGUCUGCAAGGAAAAGUGCUCCUGACUGACCGGCCAGAAUCCUCUCUCAGGUCUUUUCUAUAAUAAACCUGUCUUUGACUGUCAA
Pan troglodytes (chimpanzee) is the source of this 4840-nucleotide RNA transcript. It is a transcript of the gene named zinc finger protein 44, with no coding region annotated. NCBI's taxonomy places the organism in Eukaryota, Metazoa, Chordata, Mammalia, Primates, Hominidae. The transcript is spliced from 14 exons. The record is from RefSeq and is a predicted model, not a curated record.